This 22-nucleotide microRNA is filed under the name Marek's disease virus serotype 2 MDV2. Its description in RNAcentral is "mdv2-miR-M30-5p". Its record names the gene mdv2-miR-M30-5p. The record is from miRBase by way of RNAcentral. Lineage: Duplodnaviria; Heunggongvirae; Peploviricota; Herviviricetes; Herpesvirales; Orthoherpesviridae.
CAACACUCCCUCGGACGCAGCA